Long non-coding RNA from Lutra lutra (Eurasian river otter), 853 nucleotides. RefSeq lists it as uncharacterized. The record is from RefSeq and is a predicted model, not a curated record. The transcript has 3 exons. Lineage: Eukaryota; Metazoa; Chordata; Mammalia; Carnivora; Mustelidae.
AAGCCCAUGUCAAACACCUACAUUAACAACUCAUAUUCAAGAAUGAUGCAAGUAGCUACAUAUCAAAGAGGAGGGGCUCUUCGUGACAAGAACCAUGGUUACCUUGCAAUACUAUUAGCAGGAGCUUGCAUGUCCAAAUCUUCCAAAGCAAAUGGCAUGAAGCUCUCUGAAAUGAGAUCUCCAGAGCAGAGGCUCCUCAAUCUCUCUUUCUCCAAAGAGCAAAUAAUUGUUCCAGGAAUCAGAAUUAAGAUAAACUAGGGAAGUUGAGUUAAGAUGAGAUCUUGGCAUGUUAAAAGGUACUAGAAAGUGAGAUAAUGCAUUUGGACUGAGUGAGAUGGAGGAAGGCCAGCUCUGAGGUUUCCCUGGACUGUGGGGGGUCUUCAAGAGUGCAAAUAGCAUGUCAGUCCCAGACACCAGUUUCCUUCACCACCCUCUUUCCCAUGGCAGCCACUUAACAAUAUGAAUUCGCUUCCUAUCAAAUUGCUUGUCAUCAGUUUAGCUCCUUCCCAAAGGCCAGCAUCUAUAAUUCAUACUUUAAUGCAAUGUGAAGAUUGGUGAAAAGAACCAAAAUUUUUUGAAAGUCAAGGUAUUAGGUAUCUGAGAAGCCAUUUUACCUAUGAUCCAAAGAAAUUGAAUUCUAGAAUUUAUGUGCAUGUGAGUCUUAACAAUGUCAGAAAAACUCUGUGGCAAAAUUCAUUGACUAUGACUUCAAAAUGCAUGUAAAGAGAAACAAGUCAUAUUUGCUUUUGUUCUUUAGUCUAUGUCAUACAUAGAUAAUAGGCACAGGUUAAUUUCUGUUCAUAGUUAAUUUUUAAACACAAAUUUUAGUAUUUUUCCACUGGUUAUCCUGGGU